This 305-nucleotide ribosomal RNA is filed under the name uncultured bacterium. RNAcentral describes it as "bacterial SSU rRNA". It matches the Rfam family "Bacterial small subunit ribosomal RNA", at positions 335 to 638 of the family's 1533-position model. The record is from RNAcentral.
AUCCUACGGGGGGCAGCAGUGAGGAAUAUUGGUCAAUGGGCGGGAGCCUGAACCAGCCAAGUCGCGUGAGGGAAGACGGUCCUACGGAUUGUAAACCUCUUUUGCCGGGGAGCAACGGGGUCCUUGCGAGGGCCCGAUGAGAGUACCCGGAGAAAAAGCAUCGGCUAACUCCGUGCCAGCAGCCGCGGUAAUACGGAGGAUGCGAGCGUUAUCCGGAUUGAUUGGGCGUAAAGGGUGCGUAGGCGGUCGAUUAAGUCUGGAGUGAAAGGUACCGGCUCAACCGGUAUAGGCUCCGGAAACUGAUG